CCCUUAGAUGUUCUGGGCCGCACGCGCGCUACACUGACGAAGUCAGCGAGCAUCUCCUGCGCCGAAAGGUGCGGGGAAUCUUGUGAAACUUCGUCGUGCUGGGGAUUGAUUUUUGAAAUUCUUGAUCAUCAACGAGGAAUUCCUAGUAAGCGCAAGUCAGCAGCUUGCGUUGAUUACGUCCCUGCCCUUUGUACACACCGCCCGUCGCUACUACCGAUUGAAUGGUUUAGUGAAAAGUUUGGACUGGGACCUUCUGGUUCAGCAAUGAAUUGGGAGGAGACUGGGAAGCUCUUUUAACUGAAUCAUUUAGAGGAAGUAAAAGUCGUAACA
RNAcentral lists this ribosomal RNA (330 nucleotides) under uncultured eukaryote. RNAcentral describes it as "partial 18S ribosomal RNA". It matches the Rfam family "Eukaryotic small subunit ribosomal RNA", at positions 1470 to 1796 of the family's 1831-position model. The record is from RNAcentral.